AUACUUACCUGGUAGGGGAAGUUUUGAUCUUCCCAGAGUGAGGUUUAUCCAUUGCAUUCUAGAAGUGUUGACCCUAUGAUAUCCCCAAAUGUGGGAAUUCAGCUACAUAAUUUGUGGUAGUGGGGGCAAAAAAGUUUUUUUAUUUUUAUUAUUUUCCCUUU
This 161-nucleotide small nuclear RNA is filed under the name Erinaceus europaeus (western European hedgehog). RNAcentral's name for it is "U1 spliceosomal RNA (ENSEEUG00000021590.1)". It matches the Rfam family "U1 spliceosomal RNA". Rfam says of the family: U1 is a small nuclear RNA (snRNA) component of the spliceosome (involved in pre-mRNA splicing). Its 5' end forms complementary base pairs with the 5' splice junction, thus defining the 5' donor site of an intron. Lineage: Eukaryota; Metazoa; Chordata; Mammalia; Eulipotyphla; Erinaceidae. The record is from RNAcentral.